GAUGAAGAACGCAGCGAAAUGCGAUAAGUAAUGUGAAUUGCAGAAUUCAGUGAAUCAUCGAAUCUUUGAACGCACCUUGCGCCCUUUGGCUAUUCCGAAGGGCAUGCCUGUUUGAGUAUCAUGAACACCUCAACUCUCAUGGUUCGCCAUGAUGAGCUUGGACUCUGGGGGUCUUGCUGGCCUAUGGUCAGCUCCUCUCAAAUAAAUCAGCUUGCCAGUGUUUGGUGGCAUCACAGGUGUGAUAACUAUCUACGCUUGUGGUUUUCCAUCAGGUAACCUUCAGUGAUGGAGGUUCGCUGGAGCUCAUAAAUGUCCCUCCUCAGCGAGGACAGCUUUUUGAACGUUUGAUCUCAAAUCAGGUAGGACUACCCGCUGAACUUAAGCAUAUCACUAAGCGGAGGA
RNAcentral lists this unclassified non-coding RNA (402 nucleotides) under soil metagenome. RNAcentral's name for it is "partial contains 5.8S ribosomal RNA, internal transcribed spacer 2, and large subunit ribosomal RNA". The stretch from base 1 to 121 matches the Rfam family "5.8S ribosomal RNA", at positions 35 to 154 of the family's 154-position model. The record is from RNAcentral.